UGUGCCCUACGGGGCGCAGCAGUGGGGAAUAUUGGGCAAUGGGCGCAAGCCUGACCCAGCAACGCCGCGUGAAGGAAGAAGGCUUUCGGGUUGUAAACUUCUUUUCUUGGGGACGAACAAAUGACGGUACCCGAGGAAUAAGCCACGGCUAACUACGUGCCAGCAGCCGCGGUAAUACGUAGGUGGCAAGCGUUAUCCGGAUUUAUUGGGUGUAAAGGGCGUGUAGGCGGGAAUGCAAGUCAGAUGUGAAAACUAUGGGCUCAACCCAUAGCCUGCAUUUGAAACUGAAUUUCUUGAGUGCUGGG
RNAcentral lists this ribosomal RNA (305 nucleotides) under uncultured bacterium. RNAcentral describes it as "bacterial SSU rRNA". It matches the Rfam family "Bacterial small subunit ribosomal RNA", at positions 333 to 653 of the family's 1533-position model. The record is from RNAcentral.